This 891-nucleotide long non-coding RNA is filed under the name Homo sapiens (human). RNAcentral describes it as "HSALNT0219137". Lineage: Eukaryota; Metazoa; Chordata; Mammalia; Primates; Hominidae. The record is from RNAcentral.
AAGGAGAGAGGAAAAAAGGGAGGGCAAGUAGCACUCCAAACCCUUGGACUCCAUUAGGAGCAGGGCAUCUAAUGGGUCUAUUUUGCUUUACUGUGGACAGGCUGAGAGCUGGGAGCAUCUGCUCAGCUUUUUGUCAGUGGCUCAUUUUUUCAUAAUUUGCUCUCCAUGGAGGAGCAUAUUUUCGGCUAUAGAGAGGGCUGUGGCACCCUAGGGACUAUCCUGUGCCUUAGAGGAAGCUAGGCAUGAAACUCCUAGUGAGACUGGAAACCCCCUCAUUAGUGCCUCAGCAAGAGAAACCUGGACUCAGGGAAGGCUACCUCCUCCUCCCCUUUCUCCCUGUCUUUGCAGUCUUCAAUAAAUUCUAGCAGCCCUGGGCAGACAAGGUGCUCAGACUCUCAGCGCUCUUGUCUGCUACAAAGAGGAAAAACAAGGCAAACCUCCCUCCUGCCCUGUCUCCUGAGACCUGUACCCUGCUGGGGCUAAGAAAAGAGCCAGGAGGAACAUGCCCCAGGAAUGGUGAGGGCAUAAAGAGGGAAGGGGGCACUGUACCAACUCAAAGUCAGCAGGCAAGGAAGGCUGGCUGAGGCUGGGGACUAGAUGGGUGAGGCUCGGCUCCUCAACGAAUGGAAGAAGACAAGGGCCUGGGGUACGACAUGCCAAAUCCAAGUGUCUGCACGGGUCCCAGGGGUUCCGGCGGGGCACAUGGCAGCAGUAGAAGGGAGUUUAGAGUUUUUUGGGUGAGAGGGCAGGGGUACCAUCACAAAGACAGGACCCAAUAAGUAAUAAACUCCUGUACACAUCUGUUUCAUAUUAUAAAUACACAUUAUAUACAAAAUAAUGUUAUAAAAUGUAGAAAGGUCAGUGCUUCUGAUUCUUAAAUUAUUGAAAUAC